RNAcentral lists this ribosomal RNA (427 nucleotides) under uncultured Gammaproteobacteria bacterium. RNAcentral's name for it is "bacterial SSU rRNA". It matches the Rfam family "Bacterial small subunit ribosomal RNA", at positions 353 to 772 of the family's 1533-position model. The record is from RNAcentral. Lineage: Bacteria; Pseudomonadati; Pseudomonadota; Gammaproteobacteria.
AGUGGGGAAUAUUGGACAAUGGGGGCAACCCUGAUCCAGCAAUGCCGCGUGUGUGAAGAAGGCCCGAGGGUUGUAAAGCACUUUCAGUGGGGAGGAAAGGCCAUAAGUUAAUAGCUUGUGGAGAUGACGUUACCCACAGAAGAAGCACCGGCUAACUCUGUGCCAGCAGCCGCGGUAAUACAGAGGGUGCGAGCGUUAAUCGGAAUUACUGGGCGUAAAGCGCGCGUAGGUGGAUGUACAAGUUGGAUGUGAAAGCCCCGGGCUCAACCUGGGAAUGCCAUUCAAAACUGUACGUCUAGAGUAUAAUAGAGGUAAGUGGAAUUUCCGGUGUAGCGGUGAAAUGCGUAGAUAUCGGAAGGAACAUCAGUGGCGAAGGCGACUUACUGGAUUAUAACUGACACUGAGGCGCGAAAGCGUGGGGAGCAAA